GACGAACGCUGGCGGCGUGCUUAACACAUGCAAGUCGAACGGAAAGGCCCUGCUUUUGUGGGGUGCUCGAGUGGCGAACGGGUGAGUAACACGUGAGUAACCUGCCCUUGACUUUGGGAUAACUUCAGGAAACUGGGGCUAAUACCGGAUAGGAGCUCCUGCUGCAUGGUGGGGGGUGGAAAGUUUCGGCGGUUGGGGAUGGACUCGCGGCUUAUCAGCUUGUUGGUGGGGUAGUGGCUUACCAAGGCUUUGACGGGUAGCCGGCCUGAGAGGGUGACCGGCCACAUUGGGACUGAGAUACGGCCCAGACUCCUACGGGAGGCAGCAGUGGGGAAUAUUGCACAAUGGGCGGAAGCCUGAUGCAGCAACGCCGCGUGCGGGAUGACGGCCGUCGGGUUGUAAACCGCUUUCGCCUGUGACGAAGCGUGAGUGACGGUAAUGGGUAAAGAAGCACCGGCUAACUACGUG
Molecule: ribosomal RNA, 468 nt
Filed under: uncultured bacterium
Lineage: Bacteria
Description: partial 16S ribosomal RNA
Rfam family: Bacterial small subunit ribosomal RNA
Source: RNAcentral